This is a long non-coding RNA of Herpailurus yagouaroundi (jaguarundi), 750 nucleotides long. RefSeq lists it as uncharacterized. The record is from RefSeq and is a predicted model, not a curated record. The transcript is spliced from 2 exons. Lineage: Eukaryota; Metazoa; Chordata; Mammalia; Carnivora; Felidae.
GCAUCGGAGUACUCCUACGGGAACAAGAAAGAUGGAAGACCUCAUACGACAUGCUAAGAUCAUUAUUAAAGACUCUUGAGCAAAGAUCAAGCAGAUUGUGGCAAGCUGUCAUGCAUGCCAGCUAACCAACGCCACCACCCAUGGGUCUAACCCCAGAACCCAACUCAGGGGAGACUGCCGAGGAACAUACUGGGAAGUAGAUUUCACUGAGGUAAGGCCUGGAAAGUAUGGGUACAAGUACUUGCUAGUUUUCGUAGAUACCUUUUCAGGGUGGACAGAGGCAUUCCCCACCAAGCACAAAACAGUGCAAACCGUGAUCAAAAAGCUGCUGGAGGACAUUCUGCCAAGGUAUGGAUUUCCUGCCAGGAUCGGAUCUGACAGUGGACCGGGGUUCAUUCCUAAGAGCCCAUGAGCGGGUGUGGCCUAAGCUGAGGGCCCUCUACGAGACCGGGCCGCCUCCUGACCCCCAUCAGAAUUGACCAGGCGAUUGGGUGUACGUGCGGAGGCACCAACAGCAGACGCUCCAACCUUGCUGGAAAAGACCCUAUAUUGUGAUCCUGACCACGCCCACCACUCUCAAGGUCAACGGAAUAACUCCCUGGGUCCACUACACCCACGUCCGGCCAGCUGAUCCACACGCUGUCCUCAAGGACUUUGUUCCAGAAUGGAAGAGUCAGCCCGACAAGGACAAUCCCUUAAAGCUAAGGCUGCGUCGCUCCCACUUACCCCGCUAAUAUUACUUGCGCUGUA